This 465-nucleotide ribosomal RNA is filed under the name uncultured Haemophilus sp. RNAcentral's name for it is "bacterial SSU rRNA". It matches the Rfam family "Bacterial small subunit ribosomal RNA", at positions 338 to 795 of the family's 1533-position model. Lineage: Bacteria; Pseudomonadati; Pseudomonadota; Gammaproteobacteria; Pasteurellales; Pasteurellaceae. The record is from RNAcentral.
CCUACGGGAGGCUGCAGUGGGGAAUAUUGCGCAAUGGGGGGAACCCUGACGCAGCCAUGCCGCGUGAAUGAAGAAGGCCUUCGGGUUGUAAAGUUCUUUCGGUAUUGAGGAAGGGAUGUGUGCUAAUAGUAGACAUCAUUGACGUUAAAUACAGAAGAAGCACCGGCUAAAUCCGUGCCAGCAGCCGCGGUAAUACGGAGGGUGCGAGCGUUAAUCGGAAUAACUGGGCGUAAAGGGCACGCCGGCGGUUAUGUAAGUGAGGUGUGAAAGCCCCGGGCUUAACCUGGGAAUUGCAUUUCAGACUGGGUAACUAGAGGACUUUAGGGAGGGGUAGAAUGCCACGUGUAGCGGUGAAAUGCGUAGAGAUGUGGAGGAAUACCGAAGGCGAAGGCAGCCCCUUGGGAAUGUACUGACGCUCAUGUGCGAAAGCGUGGGGAGCAAACAGGAUUAGAUACCCUGGUAGUC